UACGUAGGGCGCGAGCGUUAAUCGGAAUUACUGGGCGUAAAGCGUGCGCAGGCGGCUUUGUAAGUCAGGUGUGAAAUCCCCGAGCUCAACUUGGGAACUGCGUUUGAAACUACAAGGCUAGAAUAUGUCAGAGGGGGGUAGAAUUCCACGUGCAGCAGUGUAAUGCGUAGAGAUGUGGAGGAAUACCAAUGGCGAAGGCAGCCCCCUGGGAUAAUAUUGACGCUCAUGCACGAAAGCGUGGGGAGCAAACAGG
Molecule: ribosomal RNA, 253 nt
Filed under: uncultured bacterium
Lineage: Bacteria
Description: partial 16S ribosomal RNA
Rfam family: Bacterial small subunit ribosomal RNA
Source: RNAcentral